RNAcentral lists this ribosomal RNA (371 nucleotides) under uncultured organism. Its description in RNAcentral is "bacterial SSU rRNA". It matches the Rfam family "Bacterial small subunit ribosomal RNA", at positions 526 to 896 of the family's 1533-position model. The record is from RNAcentral.
CGUAGGGGGCGAGCGUUGUCCGGAAUUACUGGGCGUAAAGGGCGCGUAGGCGGUUCGCUAAGUCCGUUGUGAAAGACCGAGGCUCAACCUCGGGGUGUCAACGGAGACUGGUGGACUCGAGUCUCGGAGAGGAGCGGGGAAUCCCUGGUGUAGCGGUGGAAUGCGUAGAGAUCAGGGGGAACACCGAUGGCGAAGGCACCGCUCUGGCCGAACACUGACGCUGAGGCGCGAAAGCUGGGGGAGCGAACGGGAUUAGAUACCCCGGUAGUCCCAGCCGUAAACGAUGUCGACUAGGUGUGGGGGGAGUCACUCCCUCCGUGCCGCAGCUCACGCAUGAAGUCGACCGCCUGGGGAGUACGGCCGCAAGGUUG